This is an RNA transcript of Nomascus leucogenys (northern white-cheeked gibbon), 6398 nucleotides long. It is a transcript of the gene named RIC3 acetylcholine receptor chaperone, with no coding region annotated. Lineage: Eukaryota; Metazoa; Chordata; Mammalia; Primates; Hylobatidae. The transcript has 7 exons. The record is from RefSeq and is a predicted model, not a curated record.
UUCCCGGUUCUCCACCCCGCGAGCCCGCCAAGAGAAGGCCAAUCAGGGAAGAACACCUCCUGCCUUUUACUCAAACCCCACCCCUAAGCCAAUCACCGAUGCCCACGUAGCCCCACUGAGUAUAAAAACCCAGCACCUAAACAGCUCGCCCUUCUUCCUUCCUUCUUCUCUUCCUCCGUGUGUUGUCGCCUUGGUGCCUCCAAUAAAAUCUCUUGACCGCGAUCAGCGUGUCUUUGGUUUGAGCCUGAUCGGGUCCGACUCUGAGUCGGUCCGACUCUUUCAACAAAGAACGGUGGGAUUGUAGAGAAAGGAGAGGCUGACUGAAAAAGUUUCGAGAGAGCAGUGUUUUUAAGCUGUUCUUCAGAGAAGUUUUUGACAACUGGAGAUGGUGUCAGGAAAUUUUCCAGGCAGUGGGAACAGGACAAGCAAGGCUUUCCUGAAGACAAGCAAUAUGCUAAAGAAAUAGCAAAUCAUCCAGUUUGGAAGGAGCAUUGGUAAGACGAGAUCAUGCAGGGAGUUGAGGUUACAGAAAGGAGUUUGACUAUUGUUCUGAAGAUAAUGGAGAGUUAAAAGGUUGUAAGCUGGAGAGAGAGAGAGAAUUAGUCUUGUGUUUUAGCAUUAUCACCUGUGGCUGCAGACAGAUAAUGAACGCGAGGGGCAUGAGUGGAAGCUGGAAAACAGCGAGUUCAUGGAGAUGAGGAGAAACUUGAUGUUGUGUUCUACGGGUGGGUGGGGGGCAAUGGUAAGCGGGGAUAGAGAUCCGGGCACGACCGCCGGAUGUGUAGGCGGUAGAAUGCACAGGACUCAGUAAGAGAUGAACAUGGGGAGUGAGGGAGGAGUUUUUAGUUAGUAUGAACGGGAAGGCGAGGGUACCAUUUACAGCGACGGGUAACCACGCGAGAGGAGCAGGUCAGCUCCGGACAGUGGAGGUGAAGAUGCGUGCGCCUCGCGCACCUUGUCCCUCGCGCGACGCCGUCCGCGCCGCCAGGGGUUCGGUCGGGAGCGGCAGCCCGCGCUGCGGUUCCGGUUCCGGUUCCAGUUCCGGCUGGCGUCUGCACCUGCGACCACCGUGAGCAGUCAUGGCGUACUCCACAGUGCAGAGAGUCGCUCUGGUUUCUGGGCUUGUCCUGGCUCUGUCGCUGCUGCUGCCCAAGGCCUUCCUGUCCCGCGGGAAGCGGCAGGAGCCGCCGCCGACGCCUGAAGGAAAAUUGGGCCGAUUUCCACCUAUGAUACAUCAUCACCAGGUACCCUCAGAUGGCCAGACUCCUGGGCCUCGUUUCCAGAGGUCUCACCUUGCAGAGGCAUUUGCAAAGGCCAAAGGAUCAGGUGGAGGUGCUGGAGGAGGAGGUAGUGGAAGAGGUCUGAUGGGGCAGAUUAUUCCAAUCUACGGUUUUGGGAUUUUUUUAUAUAUACUGUACAUUCUAUUUAAGCUCUCAAAGGGGAAAACAACUGCAGAGGUUGGGAAAUGCUAUACUGCCACGCCUGGAAACACCCACAGGAAAAUUACCAGUUUUGAGCUUGCUCAACUGCAAGAAAAACUGAAGGAGACAGAAGCAGCCAUGGAAAAAUUAAUCAACAGAGUGGGACCUAAUGGUGAGAGCAGAACACAGACUGUGACUUCUGACCAAGAGAAACGGUUGCUGCAUCAGCUCCGAGAAAUCACCAGGGUCAUGAAAGAAGGAAAAUUCAUUGACAGAUUUUCUCCAGAGAAAGAAGCUGAGGAGGCCCCUUACAUGGAGGACUGGGAAGGUUACCCUGAAGAGACUUACCCAAUUUAUGACCUUUCAGACUGUAUCAAGCAUAGGCAAGAAACAAUCUUGGUGGAUUACCCUGACCCAAAAGAACUUUCUGCUGAAGAAAUAGCUGAAAGAAUGGGAAUGAUAGAAGAGGAAGAAUCAGAUCAUUUGGGUUGGGAAAGUCUGCCCACUGACCCCAGAGCCCAGGAAGAUAAUUCUGUUACCUCGUGUGAUCCAAAGCCAGAAACAUGUUCCUGCUGUUUUCAUGAAGACGAGGAUCCUGCUGUCUUGGCAGAGAAUGCUGGAUUUAGUGCAGAUAGCUACCCUGAGCAAGAGGAAACCACCAAAGAAGAGUGGUCCCAAGACUUUAAAGAUGAAGAGUUGGGCAUCAGCACCGAUAAAGCAUAUACAGGCAGCAUGCUGAGGAAGCGUAACCCCCAGGGUUUAGAGUGAAAACAGCCAGUCUGAAGUAUCCAUUACUCAAGUCCCAAGGUGACCUCUCUCUCCUCAGAUUUCCUUCUUGGCCCUGUGCCCUGCACUUUCUUCACUGUGUUCAAGUGUCAUAGCUAUCAGGCCACUAUCAUGGAUAUCAUGUAUCCUUCCUGGUGCUCACACACCUGUCACCUUGUAAAACACGGACAUUAGUGUGAACACAGGACAGCUUCGCUCUUUCUCUUCCUGCCUUUAUCAGAGAAGUUGAUCCAUUAAGUAAUUAUGUUUGGUCUAUUGUAAUUACAGAUGGGACCACUCAGGGGCAAAGGUCUGACUCUUCCUGGUAGGUGUAACAGAUAGUUCACCUGUGAACAAACAUCAGCUUAUAGAUGAUAAGGACUUAAGAUUGCAAGAAUGAAGAUUUCAGACUCCAAGAUGCCUUAUUCUUUGGGCCUUGAGCAGAAUAUCCUGUAUGUGCUAUUUCCCGCCAGAGGCAGAGGCCACAGGAGAUAGGCCAUGGUUCAGGUAGGAAAUGCUCUUGGUCACAUCAGAACUCUAGAUUUGGGGGAAUAAACAAACCCUAAUUAUUACCACACUCUCAAAGUUCCCUUCAAUCUGGACUAUUUGUAUUCCAAAGAAAAAUUUAGUGCUUUAGCUAUUCAGCAAUAUUGAGAAAAAACAUGAACACAUUUAUGACUUUGCCUUGACCAUUGACUUUUCUAAAAUGUGCUUCCUUUUCCUUUAUUUCCCUUUUUUUAUACAAAGAAAAUAUGCCAAAUUUCUCCUCUUAGGUCAUUCCUUAACCUCUCAGAGAACCAGUUUCCCCAUGAAUUGGGAAUAAUGCUCUAUUUACAGGGCUGUUUGUUUAUAAAGGGUCUGUGCCAGGGCAAAGCAUGUGGUAGGUGCUUGGUGACAGCAUGAUCACCGUCACCACUGUCAAGUCCAGUAUUGCUGAGAUGUCACACUUGACGCCCUCUAAGGCUACCCUGACUGCCAGGAGUGGCCCAGGGCCCUUCUGCACUCUCUGGGUGCCUUUAGUUAUAACCUCCUGUCUGGGUCAGACCAUUAGCUUUCAUGUCUGCUUCUAGCUACCACUGUAGCCUCCCUUCCUUUUGCCCUCAAAUCUGCCACAGCUGCCCUGCAACAACAAAAAAGAUUCCUAAGCAUUUCUAAGUCCUGUUUAAAUGGAUUAGGGUCCAAGCAAGCCCAGAGAAAUCAAGUGGUUGGGUCUUUUACACCUUUUUCAUCUCUACAGCCCUGUUCUCUUCCUAAGGCCAGGCCCACAGGGGAUACUGAGGAACCACCAGCCCCUUCAGGUGGCACAGCAGACCCUGAAGAGAACUGCUCUAACUUACUUAAGUACCUUCUGACUUCUUCACCAUUUUUCCAGCCUCUGGGUGUGGUUCUGAUGAACCUUAAACUUGAAAGGCACAGCCAGAGGGAGGACAGUGUUGACCCACAUGUCAUUGGUGAGGUUAUUACCCACCUGAGGCUCCUAGGAAACAAUGAAUGAAAGGUAUAGAAAAAAAUUAGGAAGUAAACAGGGCUUUUUUUCCCCCUUUUAUGAAAAAAGUACACAGAAAUGUUGAAACGAUUCAAGUUUAAUUUGUUGAUAUAUGUGUGUACUUAGACAAACACUAACUUCUACAACAUACAUAAUGUCAACAUGGGAAAAUACCAAGUUUGUCAUUGCACAUACCAAUAAAUAAAUACAUUUGCUCCAGAAUACCAAAGAAGUUUAUUCAAAAAGUCACUUAAUAAAAGCACAGUUUUGCAAAUUUGUCUAAAACUCCAGAUAAUCUUGAACAAAAAUAAAAUGUCUGACCACUCCAAAAUAGGAAAAGACAAUCUUGUGCAAAUAGACAUACACAUUCUAGGCAUUGUGAAAACUGGCUGUGUUCCCAGCAAGAGAUACUGCAGCCUCCUGACCAGGCAGUCAGGCUUCCCUUUCCCAGCCAUCCUAAGUUGCCUUCUAGGAAACUCUGGAUCUCAGCCUCAUCUCCAGCUUUGCCUGGACCUUGCUAGGGGGAGGGAGGGACAGGAGCACAGAGGAGGAGAGGGAUGUGAUGUUUUUUUUAGGAAAGAAAAAAAGGCACAGUGAUGAGCUAUAAAGGUAGUGAUGAAAGCAAGGAAUAACUUUCAUUCACCCCAAAUCCUACGGCAAGCUUUGACAAUGUAACAUCUUCAUCUUGUGGUUAGGAAAAUGGACCUAGAGAGAUUACGUGGUUUGCUCAAAAUCACAUAGCUACUAAGUGCAGUAGUGCUUUCUAUAAGACCAAUUUGCCUUUCCACUUGGAAAAUUUAAAAACCAAACCUGUCAUAAUAUAUCUGUUCUGCCCCUCCCGCCUGUAUCAUGAGAUGACAGAAAAUUCCAGGUGGCCAUAAACUCAAACAAGAGCCUAGCCCUUGGCUUAUUACUGGUGGCUACUACAAACCUAUAGACCAGAGCCCAGAGUAGGAUAGAGUCCCAACUGUGGGCCCUGACUGCAGGUCAUUCAGGUCCCAGUCACAGUGAAAGCAGACUCAUUCAGCUAUCUGGAGAAGCGUAAUCUGAGGGCCACUUGGCAUCCUGAGUUGACACAGGGAUGCCGCAGCUGGGGUAAGGAAUUAGAGAAGGGAAGUCCAGUGUUACUGCAGUUAAGAGAAAACCAGAAAGUCCAUCUAGGAGAUGGAAUUUGUGCUUGCAUAACAGAGCCAUGGAAAUGGCUAUCCCAGCAUCUCUCCUCACUGCAGACUCCGUUGUAAGCAAAGCAUGGACCUUUUUCUUUAAGAGGUAAAUGUCCUGCUAUUUUCAGAAUGGAAAAAAAAAAAAAGACUUCUGCUUCUAGAAUCUUGUGCCCUACUUGUCACUGAAGGAGGCAGGCUCCAAAAGUUCUCUUAUAGCUUCUGAUUAUCACAGUCCUGGCUUCCAACAUCUGUCUUCGCCAUAGAUCUGGACCUUAUGUGCUCCCUCGAACUAGUGUCGUGAUUUUUAAGGCACAUUCACUAGAGUAUGUUCAAUUUCAACCAAAACCAUACAUGCAACGUACCAGUUUUUUCAGGCAAUGCAGAGUGGGAACUGAAAAGCUAACAACAUUCUUGGAUGGUGUCCUCUCACUCAGAACCCUGAGAGAGAAAGCUGGUAUUUUCCCAGGUAUACCUUCUGUUCAGAGAGCAUGAAAUGGACAAAAUCCACAGGUGAUCAUAACAUCCUUAUUCCUUUCCUACUCAUUCUCAGGAAUAUAAUCACAACUAAGAAACCUCAGUUGAUUGCUGAUUGCCCUUUUCCCCAAAUAAUCACACAGACACACACACACACACACACACACGGACGGACACAGAGCACCUUGGAGCCAGAAGGAAAGAAAAGCUGGACUUGGAGAAGAAUUGGGGAAGUGAACUUCACCACUCUGCAGAAUUGUUCUGGGGCAGAGGGUAUAGAGUUUUGGGGUGUGGUCCCAGAAGCGGUUACAGAGAAGCUGCCUAAACUCCCAACUGCCCAAUACCAUUAGGGACUGCUCAUUCUGUCAUUAAUUCCCUGCCCAAAGACCAUCCAUCCAGGUAGAGGGUAUGAAGGGCAAGAACUCUUACUGUGAGAGAGGCUGAACCCAGGUGGUUUCCAGGGGCCCUAGCAGCUUUACGAGUCCAUGCAUCCAUGGCCCCAGGGUCAGUGGUCAAGGAAAACCAGCAUCACCAGGAGCGUACUCAGCUGCUGAUGCUUGUCACUCGAUGCCUGACAGAGUUAUGGCUGAGGCUAUCCUUCUCCACACUUAAGCUAGAAAGUUCAGCCUGUCUUCCCUGACCCCACCAAAAGAUCCAGCCAACUCCCUUUUCUGUGUGCUACAGGAGAAAGCAGAGGCCAAGAGUUUUCCUUUGUGCUUCUGAUUUUUCCAUUGCCACCAGGGUCUCCGUCUCACCAGAACUCAGAACCAGCCUGUUCUAUCUUAAAAUCAUAGAUCCAGAGAAAUAGCUUGACCUGACAUUAGAGAUGAUCUAGUUUCCAUCAUCUCAAAUGUCACCAUGAAGAUCUCUUCUCCUUAAAGGCAAGGAAGGGCUAGACUGGAACUAUAGAAAGGAGGAUGGCACCAACGUAUCUCGCCAGCGCUGGCACCAAGUUGUAGUGCCCUCUAGAAACUGGACCAUGUUGCAAAAGCCAAUCGUUGGAGGGGCCUCUCAGAGAUGUAUGGCCGAGGUGUGGGCAGAUCCUGCUAGAACAGGUAUGCCUUGCUUUAAGCAUUCAACAUAGGAAAA